RNAcentral lists this long non-coding RNA (1051 nucleotides) under Scleropages formosus (Asian bonytongue). RNAcentral describes it as "lncRNA (ENSSFOG00015027598.1)". The record is from RNAcentral. Lineage: Eukaryota; Metazoa; Chordata; Actinopteri; Osteoglossiformes; Osteoglossidae.
AUCGGUAGUUUGUACGAAAUGAAUUGCAUGCAGUUUCAGAGGUUUUCAAUGUGGCCACAACAAAUAGAUAGACAGAUACACACACACACACACACUGUCUGAACCGCUUGUCCUGUUCGGUGUUGCAGGGAGCCGGAGCCUAACCCGGCAACACAGGGCGUAAGGCCGGAGGGGGAGGGAGGGGACACACCCAGGACGGGACGCCAGUCCGUCGCAAGGCACCCCAAGCGGGACUCGAACCCCAGACCUGCCAGAGAGCAGAACCCAGCCAAGCCCGCUGCACCACCGCACACCUGCCUGCUGAAAACUAAUACAGUAAAAACUACCCAGCUGUGAAAACAAGUAAAUCAUUAGUACAGGUGAAGCUGAACAGCAUGUCUUUGGAGUGUGGGAGGAAACCAGAGCACCCAGAGGAAACCCACGCAGAGAACAUCCAAACUCCACACAGACUGAGCAGGGGUAAAACCCACAUCCUCUCGCACCACCCAGGUGCUGUGAGACAGCAGCGCUACUCGCUGUGCUACCACGCCAUUUGAGUUGUGCCUAUGGGGUCCAGCAGUCAGCUGAUGUCCCUCAUUUCUGGAGAGGAUAAAGGUGUCAUCUGGGGUCAUCUUCUGGCAGUCACUGCCAUGCCGGACGUGUUCAUUUGAAGUCUAUUUUUGUAAUUUAAGAAAUAUUUUACAGUGCCUGUCCUAGUGCGUUAACUUGGGAGUGCAUGCUGGGAGGCGGGGUACUUCCCUUGUGUCUGAGCAUCUGCACUGCAUCCUAUGGGGGGAGUUCUAGUUAAAAUGAGCACAGCCAGGCAACCAGAUUGGAGACACAAGACAUCACCUAUAUGAGAAAACUACAACAUCUCCAUAUGCUUGUAGAAGAAAGGGAAAAUGUGCCCAUAUUUACUCGCAAAUAUUUGACCUUGUCAGCAAUCACAUCUCAGACCAACCCUGAGAAGUUGUGCAGAGAGGCUUUCCAGACAAGCUGUCAGUCACAUCCUGGUCACGUCCCGGUACAGCCCACCUGUCGCUGCCCACGUGAUACAGCCCACCCACGCCCA